AGCGAACGCUGGCGGCAGGCCUAACACAUGCAAGUCGAACGAAGCCUUCGGGCUUAGUGGCGGACGGGUGAGUAACACGUGGGAACGUACCUUUUGGUACGGAACAACUCAGGGAAACUUGAGCUAAUACCGGAUGAGCCCUUAGGGGGAAAGAUUUAUCGCCGAAAGAGCGGCCCGCGUUAGAUUAGCUAGUUGGUGAGGUAAAGGCUCACCAAGGCUACGAUCUAUAGCUGGUCUGAGAGGAUGAUCAGCCACACUGGGACUGAGACACGGCCCAGACUCCUACGGGAGGCAGCAGUGGGGAAUCUUGCGCAAUGGGCGAAAGCCUGACGCAGCCAUGCCGCGUGAAUGAUGAAGGUCUUAGGAUUGUAAAAUUCUUUUACCAGGGACGAUAAUGACGGUACCUGGAGAAAAAGCCCCGGCUAACUUCGUGCCAGCCGCCGCCGUAA
RNAcentral lists this ribosomal RNA (449 nucleotides) under uncultured bacterium. RNAcentral describes it as "partial 16S ribosomal RNA". It matches the Rfam family "Bacterial small subunit ribosomal RNA", at positions 29 to 523 of the family's 1533-position model. The record is from RNAcentral.